Molecule: long non-coding RNA, 2764 nt
Organism: Phyllopteryx taeniolatus (common seadragon)
Lineage: Eukaryota; Metazoa; Chordata; Actinopteri; Syngnathiformes; Syngnathidae
Exons: 3
Source: RefSeq, a predicted model, not a curated record
GUGGCUCAAACAUAAUGUUCUGACACCUCAGCAAGAGCCCACUUGCGUGUGAGGCCCUGCUGAUAUCAAGUAGUGUGGAUGACUGUCACACGGGUGCUGUUACCGGCUGAGCAGGAUGUUGUAGUUCUCAUGGGUGAUGAUCUGGCCCGCCCUCCGAGCUACCGAGCUCUCCUCAUUCGCCUUUAAGCUGUGCUUGCCCACUUCCACUCUAUACUUGUAACGGUCACUGUGGGAUGGCACAUGGCACAGUAUUUCCUUUGAGAGGUUACAGCAGUGUCAAGUUUUUCUGUCUGUGCUCACCAUAUUUAAGCUGAUUGUGAGCUGCUUGUAGUAAUUAUCGCUUGUUUUUAUGUAUUUAUUUAUUUUAUUUUUUAAAUGUUACUGGGGCGGAACGGUGGUUAGCACAUCUGCCUCACAGUUCUGAGGACCGGGGUUCAAAUCCGCCCUUGCCUGUGUGGAGUUUGUUUUUUAUGUUCUCCCUGUGUGUUUUUUUCCUCCGGGUACUCUGGUUUCCUCCCACAUCCCAAAAACAUGCACGGUAGUUUGAUUGAAGACUCUAAAUUGCCCGUAGGUGUGAAUGUGAGUGUGGAUGGUUGUUUGUUUAUAUGUGCCCUGCGAUUGACUAGCAACCAGUUCAGGGAGUACCCCGCCUCUCGCCCGAAGAUGGCUGGGAUAGGCUCCAGCAUCCCCAUGACCAUAGUGAGGAUAAGCGGUACGGAAAAUUAAUGAAUGAAAAAAAAUUGUUGAUCUUAAUCUUAUUCUUCUCCACCGAGAAUGACUUCAAUUCAUCCAUCCCUUUUCUACACUAUUUGUUAGUGUGUUAACACCCGAGACUGGUCUCGGUCUCGAGACCGGUCUCCAGACCACAUUUUUUAAGUUCUUGUCUCAGACUCGGCUGCUCUUCUUCAGAAUCAGAAUCAGAAUCAUCUUUAUUUGCCAAGUAUGUCAAAAACACACAAGGAAUUUGUCUCCAGUAGUUGGAGCCGCUCUAGUAUGACAACAUUCAAUCGAUAGAGAAUACUUUUGAGACAUAAAGACAAAUAAACACAGUCACUGAGCAAUAAAAGGUUACCAGUAUUGUGGUAAUGCCGGUACAAUUUAGUUAUUUUUUUGACAAUGUGCAAAAAGAUGUAGAGUCCUCUAGCAAUUAGAGCAGUUUGAAGUGACUAAUAGAACAAUAGUCCAGUGUAAUGACCAUUGUGCAAAAGGUGCAGAGACUUCAGGAAAGCAUUGAAUUGAUGUGCAUUCCAAUAUAGCAUGAAAAGAGGUGUCAGGAGUAUUUUUGGUGCAUUGCGCGCAUAUAUUAGAUGGAGAGAAGCCCAUUUUAUGCAUAGUGUAUCGAGUAAAGUGUGUUCUAUGGAGCACUUUAUAUUGUAUAAGCUGUAAAUUUGUGGGGUUUUUUGUCAUUCUAAAUGUAUUGUUACAUAUCUGUAUCCAGUAAUUACGGUCAGCGGACAUAGAAAGGUCUUCCCAUUUAGUGAUUGGUAAGUGCAUUGAUUUAGUGCAUGAAAUCAAUUUAUACACUUUUGAGAGAUUUUUUUUUUCCUUUGCGUAAGAAGCUUCACUAUUUACUUAACAAACUCUGAAUGUACUAUUGAACUGAAUGUACUAUUAGCCACGAGUGAUUUGUUCGUUGAACUUCUACGUUCGCGAUCCGCCAAGGAGAGACGUACUACGUAUGCAGUGAACUGUGCUGCCAUGAGUGACUCAGGCGGAAGUUCACUGCGAACUAGUACGAUGAGUGAUUCGUUUGUUCAAGGAAUGACUUAUUAUGCAGUGAACGUACUCACGAGUGAUUUGAACUGUUUAUCCUCACAGGGAUAGCUUUCACGAGCAUCCGUUUCUCCAAGCUAACAGCUAAUGUUGAGUCACAUAUUUAAAAUAAAUAUGUCUGCGAGAGCUUGCUGAGCGAGAGAGAUAGGUAGGUGAUAACUUAGCUUAAGUUUUUUUUUGUUUUUGUUUUUUUAUAAAUCUCCCGCCUUUCCUAGUUUACUUUACGUGACAACAACAAUGCAUAGUCCUUUGGUGAAUGUGUUGAGUGAACGUGAACCUCAGGGCUGAAUCAUAAACUGAAUGAGGAAGCACUUGAAUGAUUCUGUCAAAAAGAACUGAGCGAUUAGGUGAACGAAUCUUUUUAAUGAACUGAUUCUAGUGAUUCAGUACACUCAAAAGAACUGACGUGCCCAUCACUCGUCUCGACUCCCAAAAGUGAUGGUCUCGGACAAUGUAGUCUUAAGCACAACACUAGAUAGAGCCUUAUGGCCCUACUAAUUCUAAGCGCGAUAUACCGCUUAUAGGGUCGUGGGUGUGCUGGAGCCUAUCCGAGCAGACUUCGGGCACACACCCUGGACUAGACACCAGUCCGUAUCGGCAAACAAUCAUUCAUACUCACAUUCACACCUAAGCACAAUUUAGACUCUUCAACGAACCUAACAUGCAUGUAUGUUUUUGGAAUGUGUGUGAAAACCGGAGUACCACGAGAAAACCCAGCAAGCAUCAGGAGAACAUGCAAACUCCACGCAGGAAGGCCAAAGCCUGGAUACGAACCUGGUUGGAGCUACACUUCUUGGAAAGUGACCAUGGAGAAAUUGACAUGGCGUUAAACGCACUUUCCAGCUCCAACAGCUUCCAGAUCUUCAACAAGAUAUUGGAAAGGAAGCGGCCCACGCACCAUAAUUUGAAGACUGUAUGGUUAUUUGCUGCCAUCGUCUGACUCGUCUGUGUUACUACAUAAAUACAUCGCCAAUAAAAUCCAUCGAUUGAC